GCUCCACCUGCUCGGUUGGCGGAGCAGCGCUAGCUGCAACCACCGUGGGGGCAGAUGGCGUGACUGCCGACUCACUGACUGUGGGUCGGACAGCCGCCGGAGGCCGUUGUGACGCUGCCCCCUGACGCGCCACAUCGGCAAAGGUUUUCUUUGGCAGGAGGGGCACGACCGCGAGUACGCGGCGUGGUCCCCGUCACAGUUUACACAGUGUAGAGAGUUCUUACAUGCUUCAGUGGCGUGUUCAAGGGCACUGCAUUUGGCGCAUGUUUGGCGGCCUCGGCAGCUCUGCGAGCUGUGGCCAAAACGUUGGCAUUUGAAACAUCUCAAGGGAUUCGGCACAUACGGCCUUAUACGAAGCUUGAUGUACCCGGCCUCGAUUGACUCGGGCAGGACACUGGAGUUGAAGCGUCCGUGGC
Molecule: long non-coding RNA, 416 nt
Filed under: Dermacentor andersoni
Lineage: Eukaryota; Metazoa; Arthropoda; Arachnida; Ixodida; Ixodidae
Description: uncharacterized LOC126516839
Source: RNAcentral